This is a non-coding RNA of Cyanistes caeruleus (blue tit), 581 nucleotides long. Lineage: Eukaryota; Metazoa; Chordata; Aves; Passeriformes; Paridae. The record is from RefSeq and is a predicted model, not a curated record.
GCCUCUUGUCACAUUGCUGGGCACUACUGAGCAGCACCUGGUCAAUCCUCUGACAACCUCUCUUCAGACACUGACAGACAAGGAUGAAUUCCCCUCUCAGAUCAUCUCUCCUUGAGGCUGAAUGACCCCAUCUCCCCCAGCCUUUCCUCGUAAGAGGGAUGCUCCAGUCUCCUCAUCAUGUUUGAGGCUGAAACUGCCUGCAGCAGGGGACAGCAGGUCCCACCUCCCCAGGUGCCUGUGCUGGGUGGGAGAUCACAGCCAGAAACAGAAACACGUGUGGUGCACACAGGAGAGCAGCAAUGUCUCUUCCCAUCCUUCACAAGCCACCAGGCUGCCAAAAAGUCUGAACUCCAUGCUGGCUAAGGGCAGCACUUGGCACCAGGGAGACCUCUGGUAUUCUGAGAGAGACCAGCUUCCAGAAGAGCAUCCUCUGAAAUGCAGAAAGAAGGAAGAGGGAGUUAGCAUGGAGGGCACACAUGGACAUCCUAACCUGGAAUGUGCAGGGGCUGCUGCUGCUCAGAGCUCUCACUGACCACCCCAGUAAAUGAGAGCCUAUUCCUGAGAGCAGGUUACCUAAAAAC